Pangasianodon gigas (Mekong giant catfish) is the source of this 74-nucleotide non-coding RNA. The record is from the annotation of a GenBank genome assembly. NCBI's taxonomy places the organism in Eukaryota, Metazoa, Chordata, Actinopteri, Siluriformes, Pangasiidae.
GGCAGUGGUUGCUCAGUGGUUUACAGCUUGGCCUACUGAUUAGAAGGUCAUGAGUUCAAACCCCAUCGCUGCCA